RNAcentral lists this ribosomal RNA (505 nucleotides) under uncultured bacterium. RNAcentral's name for it is "partial 16S ribosomal RNA". It matches the Rfam family "Bacterial small subunit ribosomal RNA", at positions 28 to 507 of the family's 1533-position model. The record is from RNAcentral.
GACGAACGCUGGCGGCGUGCCUAAUACAUGCAAGUAGAACGCACAGUUUAUACCGUAGCUUGCUACACCAUACACUGUGAGUUGCGAACGGGUGAGUAACGCGUAGGUAACCUGCCUGGUAGCGGGGGAUAACUAUUGGAAACGAUAGCUAAUACCGCAUAAUAUUGAUUAUUGCAUGAUAAUUGAUUGAAAGAUGCUAUUGCAUCACUACCAGAUGGACCUGCGUUGUAUUAGCUAGUAGGUGAGGUAACGGCUCACCUAGGCGACGAUACAUAGCCGACCUGAGAGGGUGAUCGGCCACACUGGGACUGAGACACGGCCCAGACUCCUACGGGAGGCAGCAGUAGGGAAUCGUCGGCAAUGGACGAAAGUCUGACCGAGCAACGCCGCGUGAGUGAAGAAGGUUUUCGGAUCGUAAAGCUCUGUUGUAAGAGAAGAACGGGUGUGAGAGUGGAAAGUUCACACUGUGACGGUAUCUUACCAGAAAGGGACGGCUAACUACGUG